Molecule: ribosomal RNA, 406 nt
Filed under: uncultured soil bacterium
Lineage: Bacteria
Description: bacterial SSU rRNA
Rfam family: Bacterial small subunit ribosomal RNA
Source: RNAcentral
AGAGCGAACGCUGGCGGCAGGCCUAACACAUGCAAGUCGAACGGACUCUUCGGAGUUAGUGGCGGACGGGUGAGUAACACGUGGGAACGUGCCUUUAGGUUCGGAAUAGCUCCUGGAAACGGGUGGUAAUGCCGAAUGUGCCCUUCGGGGGAAAGAUUUAUCGCCUUUAGAGCGGCCCGCGUCUGAUUAGCUAGUUGGUGAGUAAAGGCUCACCAAGGCUACGAUCAGUAGCUGGUCUGAGAGGAUGACCAGCCACAUUGGGACUGAGACACGGCCCAAACGUCCUACGGGAGGCAGCAGUGGGGAAUCUUGCGCAAGUGGGCGAAAGCCUGACGACAGCCAUGCGCGUAGAAUGAUGAAGGUCUUAGGAUUAGUAAAUUCUUUCGAAGGUAGGGACUAAGUAAGU